AUGGGCGAACAGACAUGAUCCAGACCAUGCCGCGUGAGUGAUUGAAGGCCCUAGGGGUGGAUAAAGGUCUUCUUUACAACGGGUGAAAGAUAAAUGCACGGUAACGCGUAGAUAGUAAGUCCCCGGCUAAUACUUCGUGCCAGCAGCCGCGGUAAAUACGAAGGGGGCUAGCGUUGUUCGGAAUUACUGGGCGUAAAGCGCACGUAGGCGGAUAUUUAAGUCAGGGGUGAAAUCCCGGGGCUCAACCCCGGAACGUGCCUUAUGAUACUGGGUAUCUCGAGUCCGAGAGAGGUGAGUGGAAUUCCGAGUGUAGAGGUGAAAUUCGUAGAUAUUGCGGAGGAACACCAGUGGCGAAGGCGGCUCACUGGCUCGGUAYUAGACGCUGAGGUGCGAAAGCGUGGGGAGCAAACAGGAUUAGAUACCCGUGGUAGUCCACGCUGUAAACGAUGGAAGCUAGCCUGUUGGCAAGUUUAUACUGUCGGUGUCGCAGUCUCACGUCAUUAAGUCUUACCGUCCUGGG
Molecule: ribosomal RNA, 520 nt
Filed under: Mesorhizobium sp. SCPB-12
Lineage: Bacteria; Pseudomonadati; Pseudomonadota; Alphaproteobacteria; Hyphomicrobiales; Phyllobacteriaceae
Description: bacterial SSU rRNA
Rfam family: Bacterial small subunit ribosomal RNA
Source: RNAcentral